This 252-nucleotide ribosomal RNA is filed under the name uncultured prokaryote. Its description in RNAcentral is "partial 16S ribosomal RNA". It matches the Rfam family "Bacterial small subunit ribosomal RNA", at positions 525 to 776 of the family's 1533-position model. The record is from RNAcentral.
ACAGAGGUGCCAAGCGUUAGGCGGAAUCACUGGGCUUAAAGCGUGUGUAGGCGGUUCGUUAAGUACCUUGUGAAAUCCCACGGCUUAACCGUGGAACUGCUCGGUAUACUGGCGGUCUUGAGCAACCUAGGGGCGAGCGGAACAAAUGGUGGAGCGGUGAAAUGCGUAGAUAUCAUUUGGAACGCCAAUGGUGAAAACAGCUCGCUGGGGGUUUGCUGACGCUGAGACACGAAAGCCAGGGGAGCAAACGGG